RNAcentral lists this ribosomal RNA (444 nucleotides) under uncultured prokaryote. RNAcentral describes it as "bacterial SSU rRNA". It matches the Rfam family "Bacterial small subunit ribosomal RNA", at positions 338 to 774 of the family's 1533-position model. The record is from RNAcentral.
CCUACGGUAGGCAGCAGUGGGGAAUUUUGGACAAUGGGGGCAACCCUGAUCCAGCCAUGCCGCGUGAGUGAAGAAGGCCUUCGGGUUGUAAAGCUCUUUCAGGUGGAAAGAAAUCGCAUCUUUUAAUACAGGGUGUGGAUGACGGUACCAUCAGAAGAAGCACCGGCUAACUACGUGCCAGCAGCCGCGGUAAUACGUAGGGUGCGAGCGUUAAUCGGAAUUACUGGGCGUAAAGCGUGCGCAGGCGGUUAUGUAAGACAGAUGUGAAAUCCCCGGGCUCAACCUGGGAACUGCGUUUGUGACUGCAUAACUAGAGUACGGCAGAGGGAGGUGGAAUUCCGCGUGUAGCAGUGAAAUGCGUAGAGAUGCGGAGGAACACCGAUGGCGAAGGCAGCCUCCUGGGCCAGUACUGACGCUCAUGCACGAAAGCGUGGGGAGCAAACA